This 449-nucleotide ribosomal RNA is filed under the name uncultured bacterium. RNAcentral describes it as "partial 16S ribosomal RNA". It matches the Rfam family "Bacterial small subunit ribosomal RNA", at positions 29 to 523 of the family's 1533-position model. The record is from RNAcentral.
AACGAACGCUGGCGGCAUGCCUAACACAUGCAAGUCGAACGAGAUCUUCGGGUCUAGUGGCGCACGGGUGCGUAACGCGUGGGAAUCUGCCCUUUGGUUCGGUAUAACAGUUGGAAACGACUGCUAAUACCGGAUGAUGACGGAAGUCCAAAGAUUUAUCGCCAGAGGAUGAGCCCGCGUAGGAUUAGCUAGUUGGUGUGGUAAAGGCGCACCAAGGCGACGAUCCUUAGCUGGUCUGAGAGGAUGAUCAGCCACACUGGGACUGAGACACGGCCCAGACUCCUACGGGAGGCAGCGGUGGGGAAUAUUGGACAAUGGGCGAAAGCCUGAUCCAGCAAUGCCGCGUGGGUGAUGAAGGCCUUAGGGUUGUAAAGCUCUUUUACCCGGGAUGAUAAUGACAGUACCGGGAGAAUAAGCUCCGGCUAACUCCGUGCCAGCCGCCGCAGUAA